ACGGGGGUUGCAAGCGUUGUCCGGAAUUACUAGGCGUAAAGGGCAGGUAGGCGGAUCCAUAAGUUUUUUGUUAAAGGCAACGGCUUACCCGUUGUAAGGCAGGAGAUACUGUGGAUCUGGAAUGCGGUUGGGGAAGACAGAAUUCCUGGUGUAGCGGUGAAAUGCUCAGAGAUCAGGAGGAACACCGAAGGCGAAGGCAGUCAACUGGACCGGCAUUGACGCUAAACUGCGAGGGUGUGGGUAUCAAACAG
Molecule: ribosomal RNA, 251 nt
Filed under: uncultured prokaryote
Description: partial 16S rRNA
Rfam family: Bacterial small subunit ribosomal RNA
Source: RNAcentral